CCUACGGGAGGCAGCAGUGGGGAAUAUUGGGCAAUGGGCGCAAGCCUGACCCAGCAACGCCGCGUGAAGGAAGAAGGCUUUCGGGUUGUAAACUUCUUUUGUCAGGGAAGAGUAGAAGACGGUACCUGACGAAUAAGCCACGGCUAACUACGUGCCAGCAGCCGCGGUAAUAAGUAGGUGGCAAGCGUUGUCCGGAUUUACUGGGUGUAAAGGGCGUGUAGCCGGGUUGACAAGUCAGAUUUGAAAUCCUGCGGCGUAACCGCAGAACUGCAUUUGAAACUGUUGAUCUUGAGUACUGGAGAGGCAGAUGGAAGUCCUAGUGUAGCGGUGAAAUGCGUAGAUAUUAGGAGGAACACCAGUGGCGAAGGCGGUCUGCUGGACAGCAACUGACGGUGAGGCGCGAAAGCGUGGGGAGCAAACAGGAUUAGAUACCCCAGUAGUC
Molecule: ribosomal RNA, 442 nt
Filed under: uncultured bacterium
Lineage: Bacteria
Description: partial 16S ribosomal RNA
Rfam family: Bacterial small subunit ribosomal RNA
Source: RNAcentral